RNAcentral lists this ribosomal RNA (577 nucleotides) under Sillago sihama (northern whiting). RNAcentral describes it as "partial large subunit ribosomal RNA". It matches the Rfam family "Bacterial large subunit ribosomal RNA", at positions 1816 to 2598 of the family's 2925-position model. Lineage: Eukaryota; Metazoa; Chordata; Actinopteri; Sillaginidae. The record is from RNAcentral.
CGCCUCUUGCAAGAUUAACGAAUAAGAGGUCCCGCCUGCCCUGUGACCACUGAGUUCAACGGCCGCGGUAUCCUGACCGUGCGAAGGUAGCGCAAUCAAUUGCUCCUUAAAUGGGGGCCUGUAUGAAUGGCGCAACGAGGGCUUAACUGUCUCCUUUUUCAGGUCAGUGAAAUUGAUCUCCCCGUGCAGAAGCGGGGGUAAAGCCAUAAGACGAGAAGACCCUAUGGAGCUUUAGACGCCAAGGCAGACCAGGUUUAUCACCCCCCUUUAAAGGGCAAAACUUUUUGGCCUCCUGCCCGAAUGUCUUCGGUUGGGGCGACCCCGGGGGAAAGAAAAGCCCCCGAGCAGAAAGAGAAUCUAAUUCUCCAAGCCGAGAGUCUCCACUCUAAUAAUCAGAACCUCUGACUUAACUGAUCCGGCAAUGCCGAUCAACGGACCAAGUUACCCUAGGGAUAACAGCGCAAUCCUCUUUUAGAGCCCAUAUCGACAAGGGGGUUUACGACCUCGAUGUUGGAUCAGGACAUCCUAAUGGCGCAGCCGCUAUUAAGGGUUCGUUUGUUCAACGAUUAAAGUCCUA